UACGUAGGGUGCAAGCGUUGUCCGGAAUUAUUGGGCGUAAAGAGCUCGUAGGCGGUCUGUCGCGUCGGAUGUGAAAAUCCAGGGCUCAACCCUGGACCUGCAUUCGAUACGGGCAGACUAGAGUUCGGUAGGGGAGACUGGAAUUCCUGGUGUAGCGGUGAAAUGCGCAGAUAUCAGGAGGAACACCGGUGGCGAAGGCGGGUCUCUGGGCCGAAAUUGACGCUGAGGAGCGAAAGCGUGGGGAGCAAACAGG
This 253-nucleotide ribosomal RNA is filed under the name uncultured bacterium. Its description in RNAcentral is "partial 16S ribosomal RNA". It matches the Rfam family "Bacterial small subunit ribosomal RNA", at positions 524 to 776 of the family's 1533-position model. The record is from RNAcentral.